AGCGCCUGCAUGGAUUACCUCCUCUGAGCUGGGAGAGUUGGGACAAGGACUAGGAGCAGUUGUAAGGACUGUGAUGAAAGAAGAGGCAACCUGUACCCAAGGACAGAGUCUUCAGGAUAGAUUCUAUGAUUAUGAAUUUUGUAAUUCAUGCAGAAACUGGUACCCAGGAGCCCUCUUUCUCUCCAGACUAAAGAAAGGACAUUGUUUUUCUGACAUAAACAAAUCUCCAGGGGAAGAGGAAAAUAUCCUUCUAUGUUUAUAAUGCUUUGGAUUGUAAAUAAAUAGCACCAAUGGAGAUAGGUUUGUAAGCCACUCUGGAGAUCUCCAACCUCCAAGGCAUGUUUACCAUUCAAACAUCCUUUAAACCUAAUUUCUGACAAGUUUGCUUAGAAAGCCCUUAGUGUGCAGAAAUAUGAAAAUAUUAAUUGUUUUUCUGUAACUGGUAAAUGAGUCAUAUUUUAUUUUCCCUUUUCGAAGUACUUGUGCCAUUUCUGAGUCAUCUUCAUUUAUUUUUCUAUAAACAUUGUUCAUAGUCAAGCUCUCUCUAAGGAGCUUCUAUGCUUCUUUAAGUAUGUGGAGUUCACUGAAAGUGGUAGUAUCAGUAUUACCUUGGGUUACAAGAUAUAGUUAAAUUCGAG
Molecule: long non-coding RNA, 638 nt
Filed under: Heterocephalus glaber (naked mole-rat)
Lineage: Eukaryota; Metazoa; Chordata; Mammalia; Rodentia; Bathyergidae
Description: lncRNA (ENSHGLG00000044359.1)
Source: RNAcentral